This 1065-nucleotide ribosomal RNA is filed under the name Triticum aestivum (bread wheat). Its description in RNAcentral is "partial small subunit ribosomal RNA". The record is from RNAcentral. Lineage: Eukaryota; Viridiplantae; Streptophyta; Magnoliopsida; Poales; Poaceae.
AUGUCAUGCAGAUGCCGCUCCAUGGUGGGCGAAGUGGGCCCCCCUCCUGCAUUUUCAGAUUGUAUUCCAGAGGAAGAUAACUAUUCAGAUGGGGAUUCAGAAGGAGCUGACCACGCCUGUUUACCACCUGAGCCAUUUGAGUCAGACAUGGGAAAAUCUGGAGUGAAAACAAGGUCUUCUGAGCAGUCAGUGCUACUUGUCGAUGCAGAUUUCUUGCUGGUUAAGAUAGCUCCUCAGAGGAGGAUUCAGAGACAGAUGACCAGUCGUAUCCCCCCCGAGCCAUUUGAGCCGGUUAUGGAAAAAUCUGGAGUGAAAACAUGGUCUUCAGAGCAGGCAAUGGUACCUGUUGAAGCAUAUAUCUCGAUGGUUACAGGGAGCUCCUCAGAGGAGGAUUCAGAGACAGAUGACCAGUCCUAUAUUCCACCUGAGCCAUUUGAAUUGGAGGGGGUGAUGGCAGUAUCUAAGGGAGCAAAAACCCAUUCUUCACAAAAGACAGUGCUACCCGUCGAUGCAGAUAGAACCAUGGUUGUACUGGCCCACAAACUAGCCCCACCACACAUAAUAGAGACUCUUCCAGAUUGCACACUUACACCAUUGGGCAGAGAACCAGCUACAACCCAUCUAACCGCAACCCCAGCGGAUAGUAACCCACUUCUAGUUGACAAAGCACCAUGUCCACCAAAGAGUACCCCCACACGAGCAGUUUGUAAAGCUACUGCAGUGCCCAAAACACGAAGACCACCACAGCUAACCCAAACUCCAUGUUUAAAGCAGAAGAGCAACUGUUCUCAGGAUCCAAUUGAAACUCCAAUGGCGCAACAGUAUGCAAACAAAAUAUUGGAGAAGAGCACCCCACUAUGCAAUGGUAGAGAAAUUAAUGCAGAUAAGGUUCAAGAUAGUGAGACAACCCUGUUGGUCUCCAAGAAAGGUGAUAAAAACGAUCUUAUAGACAGUGAGAAAACCCCACAUUCCUGCGUUGAUGUAGUGUUCGAGUUACUGGCCAGUACCGCUGGCACAAGCUCUUCGAACUUGCUGCCUGAAUCACUUCGGCUUCUUCAGUGUUAG